AAAAAUAAAGAUGAUUUUACAUAUAGAAUCGUGUUGUUUUUGUCUUGAUAUUUUUCCCCCUCCCGUGCGCCCUCGUACACCCUAGCUUCAAGCUAUUGAACCACUGUUUUCCUGCCUCCCUCGUGGUCUCACUCAGUCUCCUGCCUCCCUCGUGGCACGGCUCCGUGCGUUGUCUGCAUAAUCGUGGUGUGCAUAUCGUUAUAGAGGUAAUCUAUUAUAUUUUCAUCUUCAUCCAAUUAAG
This 241-nucleotide long non-coding RNA is filed under the name Glycine max (soybean). RNAcentral describes it as "long non-coding RNA (GMAX_LNC003723)". The record is from RNAcentral. Lineage: Eukaryota; Viridiplantae; Streptophyta; Magnoliopsida; Fabales; Fabaceae.